UACGGAGGGUGCAAGCGUUAUCCGGAUUCACUGGGUUUAAAGGGUGCGUAGGUGGGCUAGUAAGUCAGUGGUGAAAUCUCCGGGCUUAACUCGGGAACUGCCAUUGAUACUAUCAGUCUUGAAUAUUGUGGAGGUUAGCGGAAUAUGUCAUGUAGCGGUGAAAUGCUUAGAUAUGACAUAGAACACCAAUUGCGAAGGCAGCUGGCUACACAUAUAUUGACACUGAGGCACGAAAGCGUGGGGAUCAAACAGG
Molecule: ribosomal RNA, 253 nt
Filed under: uncultured bacterium
Lineage: Bacteria
Description: partial 16S ribosomal RNA
Rfam family: Bacterial small subunit ribosomal RNA
Source: RNAcentral